CGUUUGAUUAUGGCUCAGGAUGAACGCUAGCGGCAGGCUUAACACAUGCAAGUCGAGGGGCAGCGCGGGGUAGCAAUACUCUGGCGGCGACCGGCGAAAGGGUGAGUAACGCGUGAGCAACGUGCCCGUAUGUGGGGGAUAGUCGAUGGAAACGUCGCGUAAUACCCCGUAACACAAAUCUUCGCAUGGGGAUUUGUUGAAAGAUUCAUUGCAUACGGAUCGGCUCGCGUGCCAUUAGGUAGACGGCGGGGUAACGGCCCACCGUGCCGACGAUGGCUAGGGGUUCUGAGAGGAAGGUCCCCCACAUUGGAACUGAGACACGGUCCAGACUCCUACGGGAGGCAGCAGUGAGGAAUAUUGGACAAUGGCCGGAAGGCUGAUCCAGCCAUGCCGCGUGCGGGAAGACGGCCCUAUGGGUUGUAAACCGCUUUUGCGAGGGAGCAAUAAGGUCCACGUGUGGGCCGAUGAGAGUACCUCGCGAAUAAGCAUCGGCUAACUCCGUGCCAGCCGCCGC
This 514-nucleotide ribosomal RNA is filed under the name uncultured bacterium. Its description in RNAcentral is "bacterial SSU rRNA". It matches the Rfam family "Bacterial small subunit ribosomal RNA", at positions 10 to 518 of the family's 1533-position model. The record is from RNAcentral.